GGAGCUGAUCUGAGUGAAUUUACUCACAUAGAUGUGCCAAUGAGUGCACCUCAAACAUGGUCUGUCAGUCAGUUGAAAGAAUGGAUUGCGGCAAGUUUAGGUCUUGAUACUGAAACACACACCGUCGGUGUUCAUGCAUUGUGGACACGGUCAAGUACAAUAAUUUACUUUUAUUUGAGGCCAAUAGAGCGAGACUCCGAUUGGGUGCGGUGGUUACAAGGUUGUGAACGAAGGGGAUGCAAUCCUAUUGCUUUAGUGCUUCCCGUCGUGAAGGGGGUCACUGCACAUGAAGGCCAAGGUGGCAACGAUCCUGGGCAGAGCAGUGUAGGUAGGCGGCUAUCUAUGUCAAAUGCUGGAGAUGAUGGUUACGAACAAGGACAGAGCAGUCAGGUAGAAGGAGGAAAUGCUUAUGGUUAUGAACCAGGGCAGAAUAGUCAGGUAGAAGGGGGAAAUGCCGAUGGUGAAUACAAUGGCGAGGUUGACGCUGACGAGGUAGAUGGGCACAUGCAGGACCAGAUGGAAGAAGAAGACACUGAUGUUGAAAGGGGUUAUGCCGAUGAUUCUGGCGAGUCAGGUGAAGAAGAAAAUGCAGUGGAGGUCCCGAAUCCUGCAUGGUGGAAUCAUGACUUCUCAUCUGCAAUGACCGUGAAUGAUGGACAUGAUUCAGCCUGGCAAUAUCAUCAGAACAAUAUUGCAACGGGUGCUAUGUAUCCGAACAAGCAAGCCUUGAAGGAUGCAAUAAUUAAUUGGGCAAUGUCCACGCAAAGGGUUUUCACAACUCAGGUGUCCAGUCAGAAAUUCCUGACAAUGGUAUGCAAGAAUGCAGAUUGUCCCGCUAGGGUGCACGGUUUUCUCCCUAAGUAUGGCACAAGUUGGGUGAUAAGUGACUUAGUUAAUCACACUUGUCUUAUUCCCUGCAUCCCUCAAGAUCAUGCCAAC
This 939-nucleotide ribosomal RNA is filed under the name Triticum aestivum (bread wheat). Its description in RNAcentral is "partial small subunit ribosomal RNA". The record is from RNAcentral. Lineage: Eukaryota; Viridiplantae; Streptophyta; Magnoliopsida; Poales; Poaceae.